GACGAACGCUGGCGGCGUGCCUAAUACAUGCAAGUUGAGCGAUGAAGAUUGGUGCUUGCUCCAAUUUGAAUAGCAGCGAACGGGUGAGUAACGCGUGGGUAAUCUGCCUUUGAGCGGGGGACAACAUCUGGAAACGAAUGCUAAUACCGCAUAACAACUUUAAACAUAAGUUUUAAGUUUGAAAGAUGCAUUUGCAUCACUCAAAGAUGAUCCCGCGUUGUAUUAGCUAGUUGGUGAGGUAAAGGCUCACCAAGGCGAUGAUACAUAGCCGACCGGAGAGGGUGGUCAGGCACAUUGGGAAUGAGACACGGCCCAAACUCCUACGGGAGGCAGCAGGAGGGAAUCUUCGGCAAUGGAGGAAAGUCUGAACGAGGAAAGCCGCGUGAGGGAAGAAGGUUUUCGGAUCGUAAAAAUCUGUUGGUAGAGAAGAACGUUGGUGAGAGUGGAAAGCGCAUCAAGUGACGGUAACUACCCAGAAAGGGACGGCUAACUACGUG
Molecule: ribosomal RNA, 497 nt
Filed under: uncultured bacterium
Lineage: Bacteria
Description: partial 16S ribosomal RNA
Rfam family: Bacterial small subunit ribosomal RNA
Source: RNAcentral